Molecule: ribosomal RNA, 460 nt
Filed under: uncultured bacterium
Lineage: Bacteria
Description: partial 16S ribosomal RNA
Rfam family: Bacterial small subunit ribosomal RNA
Source: RNAcentral
CCUACGGGAGGCAGCAGUGAGGAAUAUUGGUCAAUGGACGCAAGGCUGAACCAGCCAUGCCGCGUGCAGGAAGACGGCUCUAUGAGUUGUAAACUGCUUUUGUACGAGGGUAAACGCAGAUACGCGAAGCUGUCUGAAAGUAUCGUACGAAUAAGGAUCGGCUAACUCCGUGCCAGCAGCCGCGGUAAUACGGAGGAUUCAAGCGUUAUCCGGAUUUAUUGGGGUUAAAGGGUGCGUAGGCGGGCGGAUAAGUUAGAGGUGAAAUCCCGGGGCUCAACUUCGGAAUUGCCUCUGAUACUGUUCGGCUAGAGAGUAGUUGCGGUAGGCGGAAUGUAUGGUGUAGCGGUGAAAUGCUUAGAGAUCAUGCAGAACACCGAUUGCGAAGGCAGCUUACCAAGCUACUUCUGACGUUGAGGCACGAAAGCGUGGGGAGCAAACAGGAUUAGAUACCCCUGUAGUC